This 301-nucleotide ribosomal RNA is filed under the name uncultured bacterium. Its description in RNAcentral is "partial 16S ribosomal RNA". It matches the Rfam family "Bacterial small subunit ribosomal RNA", at positions 509 to 808 of the family's 1533-position model. The record is from RNAcentral.
CAGCAGCCGCGGUAAUACGUAGGGGGCAAGCGUUAUCCGGAAUAACUGGGCGUAAAGGGUGCGCAGGUGGUUUAACAAGUUAGUGGUGAAAGGCAUAGGCUCAACCAAUGUAAGCCAUUAAAACUGUUUAACUUGAGUGCAGGAGAGGAAAGUGGAAUUCCUAGUAUAGCGGUGAAAUGCGUAGAUAUUAGGAGGAAUACCAGUGGCGAAGGCGACUUUCUGGACUGCAACUGACACUGAGGCACGAAAGCGUGGGGAGCAAACAGGAUUAGAUACCCGCGUAGUCCCUGUCUCUUAUACA